RNAcentral lists this ribosomal RNA (800 nucleotides) under uncultured bacterium. RNAcentral's name for it is "bacterial SSU rRNA". It matches the Rfam family "Bacterial small subunit ribosomal RNA", at positions 35 to 828 of the family's 1533-position model. The record is from RNAcentral.
GGGGGGGGGGGGGUUCUUACCAUGCAAGUCGAACGGAGAUAUUCGCUGAUGAAGUACUUCGGUAAUGAUUCUUGCCUAUCUUAGUGGCGGACGGGUGAGUAACGCGUGAGCAACCCGCCUUUCAGAGGGGGAUAACGUUCGGAAACGAACGCUAAUACCGCAUGAUAUUGUUGAGUCGCAUGACUUAAUACUCAAAGGAGCAAUCCGCUGAAAGAUGGGCUCGCGUCCGAUUAGGUAGUUGGUGGGGCAACGGCCCACCAAGCCGACGAUCGGUAGCCGGACUGAGAGGUUGAACGGCCACAUUGGGACUGAGACACGGCCCAGACUCCUACGGGAGGCAGCAGUGAGGGAUAUUGGUCAAUGGGGGAAACCCUGAACCAGCAACGCCGCGUGAGGGAAGACGGUUUUCGGAUUGUAAACCUCUGUCCUCUGUGAAGAUAAUGACGGUAGCAGAGGAGGAAGCUCCGGCUAACUACGUGCCAGCAGCCGCGGUAAUACGUAGGGAGCAAGCGUUGUCCGGAUUUACUGGGUGUAAAGGGUGCGUAGGCGGCUUUGCAAGUCAGAAGUGAAAUCCAUGGGCUUAACCCAUGAACUGCUUUUGAAACUGCAGAGCUUGAGUGGAGUAGAGGUAGGCGGAAUUCCCGGUGUAGCGGUGAAAUGCGUAGAGAUCGGGAGGAACACCAGUGGCGAAGGCGGCCUACUGGGCUCUAACUGACGCUGAGGCACGAAAGCGUGGGUAGCAAACAGGAUUAGAUACCCUGUUAGUCCACGCUGUUAACGAUGAUUACUAAGUGUGGGUG